CAGGAAGUUAAGUCUCCUCUGGCCCCCAGGGCUCUCCUCUCUAUGCCCUUGGGGAGGGGACUUCCUGUUAGGACGCCAUCUUGUUUGUGUGGUCCUGACAGAGUUGUUUGGGGCUAGCACUCUCCUUCCUCAGCAGCCCGCCUUGAUAUUUUUCAAACCUCCCGCUCCAGGCCCCAAGGAUUCUCUUCAGGAGCAGCCUAUGAGGACGGUGGAGACAGGUCACUGCCUUCAGGCCACCCCGUGGGUGGGUUGGUCAGUAUGAGACCUUGUUUUCUCUGCAGCUCUGUGGAUAGAAUGUGCCCAAGGUGAGGACUUAGGUCCAAUGUUGGGACUGAGGGUGAAGGUGGGAGAGAUUAGGCAGAAGAGGCAGGUGUGUGUCAUAUAUCCCCUGAUGGGGUCCUCACUCAACUCUUUCUUCAUCACAGCUUUUGUCCUUGGACCUGAGCAACAAGAAACCCUACCAGCUGGUUGGCCUGCCCAACACUAUGGAGCAUGCUUCCCACAUCAAGAACUUGAACCUCCCCAACACUGAGUUGAAGUCUGCAUGGGAGAUGGACAAGGUCCAGCGGCCGGAACCAGAUGAGAUGUGUGCAGACAUAAACACCCUGUGCACCACCUUCCCGGAUAAGUCAACCAGCAUAAGCACUUCCAGAUUUGUUCUACCAAAUACUAUGUCAGAGAGACAACAGCAAAAAUGUGUUCAUCCAUUAAAGAAUUAUGGGACAUCCAGAAAUAAAGGUAAAAGGAUUUCUACAUUGUCAUAGUUUUAGACAUAGUAUACAAUUU
Molecule: long non-coding RNA, 786 nt
Filed under: Sus scrofa (pig)
Lineage: Eukaryota; Metazoa; Chordata; Mammalia; Artiodactyla; Suidae
Description: lncRNA (ENSSSCG00055010924.1)
Source: RNAcentral